Molecule: ribosomal RNA, 380 nt
Filed under: uncultured eukaryote
Lineage: Eukaryota
Description: partial 18S ribosomal RNA
Rfam family: Eukaryotic small subunit ribosomal RNA
Source: RNAcentral
CAAUAGCGUAUAUUAAAGUUGCUGCAGUUAAAAAGCUCGUAGUUGCAUUUCCGAGGCAAGGGAUUAGUCCGACCUUUGGUGGGUAUUUAAUCCUCUUGCCUCGUCCUUGAGUGGUGCUUCUUGGUAUUAAGUUAUCGAGGAGAUAGCCGCUCAUCGUUUACUGUGAGAAAAUUAGAGUAUUCAAAGCAGGCUUAUGCCGUUGAAUAUAUUAGCAUGGAAUAAUAAGAUAGGACCUCGGUACUAUUUUGUUGGUUUGAGAACCAAGGUAAUGAUGAAUAGGGACAGUUGGGGGUAUUCGUAUUCAGUUGUCAGAGGUGAAAUUCUUAGAUUUACGGAAGACGAACUACUGCGAAAGCAUUUACCAAGGAUGUUUUCAUUAA